UUGAGUAGGUGACCAAAAUUUGACUGGGACUGUAUAUGAAUGACAAUGCCAUCAGUUCUAGUUGUAAGUUUUGUCAAUGUCAGUGGUUGUCCUUUGAACAUAUCAGUUCUACUGUCUAUGACAAUGAUAACCUGUGUUCUGUUCUUCCAGUUGUAAAAUGACCCCACUGUCAAACGAGUUGACCUGGAGGAAGGACAUGUCAUAAUCUACAUAGAUGGGCUUAAGCAGAAGCAAACUAAGACGUACAGCCUGGCCAUAGAGGAGGAUGUGCCUGUGAGGAAUCUGAAACCAGCUGUGGUGAAAGUGUAUGACUACUACCAGACAAGUGAUGAAGCUGUGAGUGAAUACAGCUCCCCAUGUGCAGAGAGUGAUGAAAUUAAUGAAGUGUGAAAGACAGAGAGCCAAUCACAAGCUGACUGGACCCAGGCUCAACCAAUUGCUUUCCUAUCAAGGAAGUCAUGUUUUUAGGUCGAGCUCAUAAAACCUCUACAUUUAUUUGAUUUGAUGCUUACAGUUCAUUGUACCGCAUUGACCAACUUGUGAUACUUUUUUUUUUUAACUUAUGUUAAAAACGGAUAUGUUUAAUAGAUGGGCAUACAUGGGCCUUAGAAUGUACCUUUAAUUCAGUUUGCUUUUGUUACUUUGAUUUGUGCUAACACGUCACAACCUGCUGUUGUA
Long non-coding RNA from Salmo salar (Atlantic salmon), 678 nucleotides. RefSeq lists it as uncharacterized. The record is from RefSeq and is a predicted model, not a curated record. Lineage: Eukaryota; Metazoa; Chordata; Actinopteri; Salmoniformes; Salmonidae.